GAUGAAGAACGUAGUGAAAUGCGAUAAGUAAUGUGAAUUGCAGAAUUCAGUGAAUCAUCGAAUCUUUGAACGCACAUUGCGCCCGGCAGUACUCUGCCGGGCAUGCCUGUUCGAGCGUCAUUUCAACCCUCAAGCCCUGCUUGGUGUUGGGGCCCUACGGCUGCCGUAGGCCCCGAAAGGAAGUGGCGGGCUCGCUACAACUCCGAGCGUAGUAACUCAUUAUCUCGCUUAGGGCGUUGGGCGGCGCUCCAGCCGUUAAAGAACCAUCUUUAACUCAAGGUUGACCUCGGAUCAGGUAGGAAUACCCGCUGAACUUAAGCAUAUCAAUAAGCGGAGGA
RNAcentral lists this unclassified non-coding RNA (338 nucleotides) under soil metagenome. RNAcentral's name for it is "partial contains 5.8S ribosomal RNA, internal transcribed spacer 2, and large subunit ribosomal RNA". The stretch from base 1 to 120 matches the Rfam family "5.8S ribosomal RNA", at positions 35 to 154 of the family's 154-position model. The record is from RNAcentral.